CCUACGGGUGGCAGCAGUCGAGAAUCAUUCACAAUGGGGGAAACCCUGAUGGUGCGACGCCGCGUGGGGGAAUGAAGGUCUUCGGAUUGUAAACCCCUGUCAUGUGGGAGCAAAUUAAAAAGAUAGUACCACAAGAGGAAGAGACGGCUAACUCUGUGCCAGCAGCCGCGGUAAUACAGAGGUCUCAAGCGUUGUUCGGAAUCACUGGGCGUAAAGCGUGCGUAGGCUGUUUCGUAAGUCGUGUGUGAAAGGCGCGGGCUCAACCCGCGGACGGCACAUGAUACUGCGAGACUAGAGUAAGGGAGGGGGAACCGGAAUUCUCGGUGUAGCAGUGAAAUGCGUAGAUAUCGAGAGGAACACUCGUGGCGAAGGCGGGGUCCUGGACAGUAACUGACGCUGAGGCACGAAGGCCAGGGGAGCGAAAGGGAUUAGAUACCCUUGUAGUC
This 446-nucleotide ribosomal RNA is filed under the name uncultured bacterium. RNAcentral describes it as "partial 16S ribosomal RNA". It matches the Rfam family "Bacterial small subunit ribosomal RNA", at positions 338 to 795 of the family's 1533-position model. The record is from RNAcentral.